AUUUGGUGUUAAGAAUAGAUAAAUAUUGCAUAUAAAUCCGUAAGAGAAAGACAAACAACACAACAGAAAAAUGGGUCAAGAAGAGGAAUAGGCAGUUCACGGAAGAGGAAGCUUCAGUGGCUGGUAAACUCAUGACAAUUUGCUCAACCUCACCAGCAAUCAGAGAAAUGCAACCAGAAACAAAGAUGCCAUUUCAUACUGGCUGAGAGAAACACGUUUCUUCCCCAAUCCUGAUGUUGACUUUAAAAAGGAAGAUUGCCCUAAAUAUUCACAGCCUCUUGUCUUACCCUUCCCCCUCCCCAUGGAGAUGGAAUGAGUUACCUAGUUGGGGGGGUCUUUGGCCCAUGUUUUUCUGCUGGGUGGAACUUAUCUAAAAAAGAUCCUGAAUGCAAGGAGUUUGGUCUCUUUUGCUCUCCCUCGCCACCUAAACCAGCACGAUCCAGCAGCCCAGACCAAAAAUAUCAGGGUGAGACCCAGAGAGCUGCCUGAGAGACCAACAAACCAUAUGGGACUAUAAGCUGCGAAGAACCAACGUGGACUUCGAUUUAGUGCAGAAGUGCUGCCACAUCUGUGGGUGAGCCCGGGAUGUUUCUGUUCUUAAGGAGCCCAGACACCAUCUAACCUGAGACCACCUCCCGCAAACUGCCCCCCACCAUGAACUUCUAAAUUCUUCGUCUUUUCUGACAAAUUUCACACUCAUUUUAGUUAGUACUUAAAGUUAAAAUACAACAUUUAUGUGUGGUUGGGUCCAUUGCUGCAUGAUUUAUAAUUCUCAAAGACUAGGGGGAGGUGAGCUAUGCAAUAAAGGGAAAUUGGCUAAAUAAAUUAUAGCAUGCCUACAUCCUGGGAUACAGGCAGCCUUUAAAGAGGUUCUUGGAGAAUAUUUAAGUUCAUGAUAUAGAUAGAUAGAUAGAUAGAUAGAUAGAUAGAUAGAUAGACAUAGAUAUAAAUAUAUAGAGAUGUAGAUAUAAAUUAGCAUAUAAUAUAUAUAAAAUUAGUGUCAAACAUUUCAUAUUUUACCCUUUAGAGUUGUCCUUAAGAAAAUACAACCACUCUAAAAACAGAGCUGAAUGUACUCGAUAAAGGAUUUCUCCUUUCGUGUCAGUUUGGAGAAGUUACAACCAUCCUAAAUCUCAAUAAGAGAGCCUUGUGCAGGACUGACAGCAGGGUUAUCAUCUACAGCAGACACUUCAGAAAACUUUAAAACUUUCUCUCCUUCUUUGCCCUGAAAGAGCAACCAAUGAGUAACUCAGAUAACACCAUCUAAGAGUUCAGGAAAUUUUAACUCAUAAAACAUUGUUAAAUGAAAAAAAAAAAUCAUGCUACAGUUUGUACAGUAAGAUCCCCAUUCUAUAAAAAAUAACAAAAGAAAAACUUUACGUACUUGUGUCUGAAGAUAUAUGCAUAUGAAAAAGUCUGAAAAGGAGAGCACAAAUGGACCCCACAGUGGACACCUUUUUUCCGUGUUGAUGCCAUCUCUGAACUUAGGGACUUGUAGAGGGUAGAAAGAUCCAGAAAAACACAACAGAAAAGCCAAACACAACCCAGGGAGGAGCUGAGUAGAGAACAGGGUGCUGGCAGACACUGGUUCAGGGCAUUUGGGGCCUAAUAGGCCUGGGUUCAAAUUCAGACCUGUCACUUACCAGGUGAUACUGUGGGCAAGCUACUUUUCUCUCUAAGCUGCAAUGUCUUCAUCUGGAAAAUAGGGUUUAUAAUGCCCACCUUGCAGUGCUAUCUGAGCAUAAAAGCACUAAUAUUGUAAAAUGUUUAGCAAAAUGGCUGGCAUAGAGGCAGGGCUCAGUCAGUGGGAGUAGGGUUUUUAAAAACCAACUUCAUUGAGGUGUAAUUUGCAUACAAUAAAAUGCACCAGGCCCCACAAAUCAUGUAGCUGUAGCCUGUCCUACCAUCACCAUAGAUUAGAUUUGCCUUUUCAAUGGUUUGAUAUGAAUGGAAUCAUAAGGAUGUGCUUCUUUCACUUGGCCUAAUGUUUUUGAGAUUCACCUAUGUUGUUGCCUGUACCAUCAGCUUAAUUCCUAACAGCCCCAAACUGGCAGCUCUCUCAAUGUCUAUCAGCAGGUGCAUGGUGUGUAGUAAAGAAUUAACCAGAGACAUGUCUGGCCUUUGCUUUCGGCUACUGGGAGGGGAUCUGUAGGCCCCUGGGAUGUCCUGCCUCCUAGAACUGUCUUUGUUUUCCUGGGGGCUCGGUCACCCAACAGUCUAACAAUGUGAUCUAUGAGGUGGGUUGGGACACACCACGUCAGCUCCAACCUCUGGGAGCAGCUGGAGACUGAAGGUCAGCCAUAUGGGCACUAUGUGAUCAAGCCUCAGUAAAAACUCUGGACACCAAAGUGCAGGUAAGCUUCCUGGUUUAGCAAUAUUCUGUGCAUUUUGUCACACAUUGAUGCCAGGAGGGUAACACAUCCCUGAGGACAUGGGAACUUCAUGUUUGAAGCCCUCCCAGAUUCUGCCGUAUGUGCUGGCACCUUUGGCUGGUUCUAAUUUGUAUCCCUUUGUUAUAAUAAAAUUGUGAUUCUAAGUAUAGCACUUUCCUGAGUUCUAUGAGUUGUUCUGGCAAAUUAUUGAAUCUCAGGGUGGCUGUGGAGACUCCUAAAUUUGUAGCCAGCUCAUCUGAAGUGUGGGUGGUCCUGGGGACCCCCAAACUUGUGGCUGGUGUCUGAAGUGAGGGCAGCCUUGUGGGGAUUGCUC
RNAcentral lists this long non-coding RNA (2706 nucleotides) under Equus caballus (horse). Its description in RNAcentral is "lncRNA (ENSECAG00000045488.1)". The record is from RNAcentral. Lineage: Eukaryota; Metazoa; Chordata; Mammalia; Perissodactyla; Equidae.